AACGAACGCUGGCGGCGCGCCUAAUACAUGCAAGUCGAGCGAGAAGGUGUAGCAAUACACUUGUAAAGCGGCGAACGGGUGAGGAACACAUGGGUAACCUACCCUCGAGUGGGGAAUAACUAGCCGAAAGGUUAGCUAAUACCGCAUACGAUUCCAGGACUUCGGUCCUGGAAGGAAAGCACUACCGUGGGUAGUGCGCUCCUGGAUGGGCUCAUGUCCUAUCAGCUUGUUGGGAGGUAAAGGCUCACCAAGGCUUCGACGGGUAGCUGGUCUGAGAGGACGAUCAGCCACACUGGCACCGCGACACGGGCCAGACUCCUACGGGAGGCAGCAGUAAGGAAUAUUGCGCAAUGGGCGAAAGCCUGACGCAGCGACGCCGC
RNAcentral lists this ribosomal RNA (380 nucleotides) under uncultured bacterium. RNAcentral describes it as "bacterial SSU rRNA". It matches the Rfam family "Bacterial small subunit ribosomal RNA", at positions 29 to 400 of the family's 1533-position model. The record is from RNAcentral.